This is a long non-coding RNA of Heterocephalus glaber (naked mole-rat), 2984 nucleotides long. The record is from Ensembl. NCBI's taxonomy places the organism in Eukaryota, Metazoa, Chordata, Mammalia, Rodentia, Bathyergidae.
UUGAGACAAGUUAUCACUAAAUUGUUAAAUUCCCCAGGCUGGGCCAGAAUUUGUGAUCAUUCCGUCUCAGAGUCCCACACUGUUGGGAUUACAGGCUUGCACUGCCAUGCACAGCUUCACCUGGAUUAUUUUAAUGACGUAGGGGAUUUCUUGCCUCACUUCUGUCUAAUUAGGUUGGCUUACCACAUAGGAUUUUUUAAAAACUAUGUCAAAAUCUGUCAGUUGUUUACUAAAAACACCUCAGUAGUCCCCUCCUCACUCAAAACAGAAAAUGUCUGAAUGGAAGGGCCUACAGAACCUAGGACUUUCCUUUAGUCUCCUCUGGUCUCAGGCACCAGCUUCCACCUCCUGCUCUAGCCACCACAUCCUGCUCAGGACCUUUGCACUUCCCAGGACCCAGACCUCUCUGCCCUCUAAUAGCUACACUGACAGGGCUUGCUCCCUCCCCACAGGUCUGUGUGUUCUGAACACUUUAACUCUAAACUUUGUCAGGCCUGACAUAAGUGAAUCCUUCACAAACAAAUGAUAAAGCAAACAAGCUGCUUUUAGCAAACAAUAGCAGCUUCUCAGUAAAUAGGGCAAAUGGACUCAAAACGAAGUAUACAACCCCCCCGGCACUGAGAAGUCCAGUGAUUUGUCUGCACACCUCAGCAGACCAUCCUUGAGCAUCCAAGUCAUAAAUAUUUCACCCCAGAUUCCUUAGCACCUUCAAUACCUAGCUUAAUUCAUCUCCCAGUUAAUUGUUUAAGAACUCCUCUCGACAAAUUAGAGGAAUUCUUUUUUUUUUUUUUGGUACCAGGAUUGAACUCGGGCCCUUGCACGGGCGCCGGAACCACUGAGCUAAAUCCCCAGCCCAAAUGUAAGUGAGGUUUAUUGUUUUGUUUUGUUUUGGUACCAGGGAUCGAACUCGGGUCCUUGUGCUUGUGCAGCAGGCAGCGAAACCACUGAGCUAAAUCCCCGACCCUCAGUUAAUUGUGAAUAUCUCUCUCCUAGUAUUAGCCCAGUCACUCAAGGAUGAAAUCUCUCCUGCUAUCUAGCUGCUGCUAUCUCUCUCCCGAUGUCAGCCCAUCCACACACAGAUGUCAUAAAACUUGGCUUUUCCCAGCUAGCUGCUAAAAUCUCCUGAUUUUAGUCCCUGUUAACUGGAUAAACUUUCCUUUCAAAAGUGUUUUGACAAGUGGAUUCUUUAUAAUACUUCAGACUCUCUCACUGUCACUCUGUUCACUUUUCUUGGCUUAGUUUUGUUAACGAUUAGCACCAGUAUUUUUGGCAUCAAUAUAUUUGUAUCUGCAUGUUGCUGGUUUCCCACACUGCAAUGUAGGCUAAAGAAAGGAUCUUGUUUGGGCCGGGGAUUUAGUUCAGUGGUUUCGGCACCUGCCUCACAAGUACAAGGUCCCAAGUUCAUCCCCGGUGCCAAAAACUAAAAAUAGAAAUAAAUUAAAAUUUAAAAAAAGAAAGGAUCUUUUCUACUGCUUCAGGGUUCGACUAAUGCCUGGGUCAUAACAGAUACCUCAUAAAUUUUUGCUGAAGGAAAGAUUUUGUUCAUUACAGCUCCUCAGAGGUAGCAUUACUGUCUUGGUUCUAGAAAUGAGGUGAGCAUCUAAAGUAUUAGAAACAGCUAAAUUUGAUAGAAAGUAAUAAGCAGUCAGAGAGGGAUUAGACUCUCAGAGUCAGCACAAAAAAAAUAGACGUCUGGGGCUGGGGAUUUAGCUCAGUGGUUCCACUGUCUGCCUUGCAAGCACAAGGACCCAAGUUCGAUCCCCAGUACCAAAAAAGAAACCCCAACCAAAUAACAAAAAAAAUAGACGUUGGAAUUGUGGCUGAAUCUGAAGAAAGCGAGGCCUCAGGAUGGAGUCAUAGUAGUCAGGCCUUUGAGAUAAACAGCAACUUGGAUUAUACUGUAAUUAGCACCAUCUGGUCCAGUGAGCCCAGGUAGGUAUGAGACAUACAGGUGGAUGACCAGAACAUCUGGACCCAUACUGCGUUUCCUUCCCCUAAAUGUCUUUGUUCUUUCCAUAUACCCUUGCUACAUGACUCACUUCCCUAUUGGAUCAGUACUAGCUCAGUGGCUAUACCUGUAAUCCUAUAGGUUGAUUGUAGUUUGACCCAUGUUGUACCUACAUUGUGAUUUUGCUGUAUAAAAUACUCUUGAUAAAGAGCCUCAGCACCCACCCGUGUGGGACUCCUAGAAAUCCAGGAGCUAUUCUUAAUUCCAAUAAAACUCGCCUAACUUCGUCCUUUAGUUUACAGCUUCAUUCCUUGAUGUGAGACCAUGAACUUGGCACAUCUGACAUCUGUCAGGUUGGGAGUUAUAUUUUUUCCAUAUCAAAGAGACUUUGCCUCCCAGCUGAAACUGAAAAGGGAUCGAACUGGGGUCCUUGCGCUUGCAAGGCAAGCAGCAGAACCACAGAGCUAAAUCCCCCGGCCCUUGGCAUUUCUUGAAGACAUCUUGCUACAGAAGUUCCCACACCCAGGUCCCCCAACUGCAGGCCACCCACACCAGGCAGGAAGAGGACCCCACGAAUGUUUUUAAAUGACUUAUAGAAUCAGAGUGGUACCAUAGAGCUGAAGGUAAAAAGCUUAGCCACAGAGGUCUAAUCCAUUUACAAGCAGUGUGACCUUGGACAAAUUACCAAACUACAGUUUCCUUAUCAGUUCUCCAAUAUGUAUCCACCUUUAGCCUGCUAUGGUGGCACAAGCCUGUAAUCCCAGUACUCCGGAGGCUGAGGCAGGAGCCCGGCUAUACAAGGAGUUCAAGGCCGGCCUAGACUACCCAGCAAGAUCCCAUCUACUAGGUCACAGUCCCAGCCACACUGGAGGCACCCAAUAAAAGAUGGUUACCUUGUCUUAACUCUGUAUUCCCCUUUUCCCAAAGCUCUUGGUAACAUCUAAAUCAGUGAUGGUGAACCUUUUAGAGCAUUCAAUGAUAUAAACAGCUCUUUCAAUGACAUAAGUGGUGGCACUUGUACCUUAACCUCCCUUCC